AUAAAUUAUAUCAAAAUAAUGGUUUUUAACUGAAUAUAUAUAUUUUUAAUGAAAAACAUGUACUUAGUUUUCUGCUCAGUUUUCCUAAUGAAUAAUUAGAGACUGUUUUCAAACAUUGUUUUCAAAGAUAGUUUCAAGAACAUAAUAUAUUUAUUCUUUGAAAAACAUAUUUUUUAUUUUUACAUUAACAACAGACAGGCCAAUAGGCAUGGAUUACAGGGGGCAUAAUCUCUCUGUAGAAUCAAAUUGAUAAUUAAAUUGCUGUGUAAGCAAAAUUAGCCAGGAGGUAAAAACAGAGAUUUAAAUGUAUGUCUUUAGUUGACAUGUACCUCUUUUUAAUAUUCCAGCACAAGACUGUACCAAUAAUUUUUACUAGGAAGUAGUAUAAUAUAGUUUUUAAGAGCAAGUGCUACAAUAUGAUAAUUGAGUUUGGAUUUUAAGUCUCCUAAUGCUCUUGUGAAAUAUUGGAUAUUUUGCUUUACUUCUAGUAGACUCAGUUUUCUGAACAGCAAGUUGGGGUAAUAUCUUAAGCACAGAUUUGCAGAAUAUUAAAUUAGACUUAUGCAUAUAAAGUACUUGGCAUAAUUCCUGACACAUAAUUCAAUAAGUUAGUGUUAUGAUUGUUAUAACUGUUGAUAAUGUAAUUAUAACCUUCAGAAAACGUAUGCUCUCUCUAAGACUCUGGGCUAUUCUAAAUGCCAACUAAUUUUCCAAGUAAACUAUUCAUUAUUUUGUUAUGUUUAAACAAACAAACAAAAAUUAGAUUUGGGAGGCCGAGGCAGGCAGAUCACUUGAGGUCAGCAGUUCGAGACCAGUCUGGCCAACAUGGUAAAACCUCGUCUCUACUAAAAAUACAAAAAUUAGAGGGUGGGGGCAGGUGCCUGUAAUCCCAGCUACUGGGGAGGCUGAGGCAGAAGAAUCACUUGAACACAAGAGGCAGAAGUUGCAGCAAGCUGAGAUUGCACCACCACACUCCAGCCUGAGUGACAGAGCGAGACUCUAUAUCACAAAACAAAACAAAAACAAACCAGUCAGAGUCUUCAUUCUCUUUCCCAAGUAAAAUCUACAUUCCUCCUGCUUUUCAAAACAUUCCAACAUGUAUUUAAUGAUUCUCAGAGAGAAAAAAAAUACAUUUGGAGGAAAAUUAAGGGAGCUUUUAUACUGUUAUUUACAUUGAUACCUCACAAAUGAAGAUAUAUUUAUAUAUCUACCAAAGCCCCUGAAUCUUCUACAUUGCAAAAUACAUAUAAUUUUUCAUGGAAUGAACUGACUACUUUGCAGUUUUAUUUUCAGUUAUUGAUACUACCUGGUGAACAAAUUAUUUUAACAAAGAAAAUAAGGAAAACCAUGUAGAAUUAUGAAUCAUGGGGUUAUAGGUUUAAAAGGCAAAAAGGAACUUAGAAUUUUACUGAUGAAUGGAAAUCAGACGAUAUGUUGGCAUUUCUUCAAACUAACCCCAUGCUUUAAGUUGAAGCACCUUCAUAUUUCAAAGCACAUUCUGCCAGAGUUUCAUAUAAAGGCAUUUCAAUUUAAUUUAAAUUGGCUAAAACAAUUAGAUAGCUUUUUCUCUCCUAAAUGACUUGCUUUUGCAAUGGAUAUAAAAGGCAUUAGCUUUUAAAAAAAAUUAGAGCAGGUAUGAGGAUUUGUCUCUUGAGAUACACACUGAUUAUUAAUAAAGAGGUUGUGAAAAUUGAACAUGACUUUCAGCCAACUCAGUAACAUGAACUCUAAGUGACAAGUGACAUUAAGAGCCCUUGAGAAGCAGGUCACUGUCAGAAGAAGGAGAUACAUGUAAGUAUAAAAAAAAUAAAAUAUUACCUUUGUAAAGAAGUUUAACUUCAUUUUUUAACUUGAGGAUCACAGUGAGCUAAAGAAAACUUGUUCAAGAGAUUGUUACAUCGGAUUUUUUUUUAAAAGUCUUGUCUACUUGUCAGUAUUCUAAAGAACUUCAUGAUAUUAUUCAAUUUUCUUCAAAUUCUUCAAAAGCUUCCCUUACUCUUAAGCUGUAGUCUAUGCCUUGUAAUAAUGACACACACGCACGCGCGCACACACACACACACACACACACACACACAUAUAUAUCUCCGUGAUUAAUUUCUUUAAUUUAUGGUUGGCUAAAUCCUUAAACCCCAUAACUUGGUUGCACUUCUGUUGUCACGCCUUGGGUAUUGCUGUUGUUCAAAAUUGCUGCACCUCUCAAACCUCAUCUUUAAUCACACACUUUGUCUUUCUUAUAACAAUUCAUUUUCCCUUUAUCAAAUACCUACCAUUUCUGUCCUUCACAGUAGUUUCUGUAAUUAUAUAAUCAAACUCAAUCAAUAUAACAGAAGACAUAAGACACUUGUGUUUUGAAUUCUUUAAUUCACUACAAAUGCUCUGCUAUUUUUGCAUUCAUAAUUUUAAACUGUAAAUAACAAUAACUACUAUUGUCAGUUAGAAUUUGGGGAGAAAGAAGAAGCAGGCUAGUGGGUUGUACUAACAUACAAAUGUUUUGUGAAUCCAUUCCUUUCAGGCUUCUGCAUAAUACCUUUUUUUUCCUCUUUAAUGGAGAGAGCUGCUACAAAGCAGAGUAACCCCAAAUGCCCAACAGCUCUGUGACUCAGACAGAUGUUUAAAUGUUGGGAAUAGGAUGGCUAUGCAAGUGCUAACAGUUCUUUCCAUAUGAAAUAUAAAGGAAAACCAGGAGAUCUAUAGGAAACAUUAAGAUUUUGGUAAUGCAAAAAAAAAAUAAAUAAAAUUAAAUGUCCAAGGAAAUCACCAAAAGUUUCCCAAAAUAGUCGGAUAAUUUCAGCUUUGUUCUGAAAGUGGUAGUCCCAAGAAUUUCCUCUCAGAAUUUCUCCUCUAAUGUGGAGGAAAGUUUAGUCUGUGUCAGGGUUUCACAUGGCCUUUUCCUCAGUAAGGCUUCUCAAAUAUGUUUAUUCUACUUUUAUCCACAGGACAAAGCCAUCUUUGGUGAAGAUAAAUAAGAAACACCUGUUCUUUAUACUAUGUCAGCCAGUAUGAUGUUGGUGUGGGGAUAAGAAAAGCAGACAUUGUUAAUGAAACUAUUACAAGCUUUUUACGUAAAUGUCUUCCAAGGUAGAUGUGCAGCUGACUUCAAUGUGUAAUUAACAAAUAACCGGGGUGACAUCGAUAGAAAGCCAAAAGUAUAUACUUCAUUGAUAAAACUAUUGAUUAACCAAGAGUAUCAACUGAUAUUCUCGAUUUUCAGGAGUAAAUAAAUGACAUCUCAAUAUAGACAAGAAUUGCCCCCCUGGGGUCCUCUUGGCUUCUCUCUCCUGUCGUGGAACCAUGCCUCACAAAGCAAGGGCUGUUGGCCCAGAGUACUCUCUGCUUACUGCAUGAAAGAAGAACCUCUGAUUCAUGCAUGAGGCUGGAUGAAUGAAAGGAGCCCAUAGCUCUCCAUCAUACUCCCCUGAAACAUAGCCUCAGCAACAAGCUUCUAAGGGCAGAACGAGAAAUGAUGAAGCCCCGCUCCUCCUGGGAAGCAGAAAACUACAGCUGAAAGAUGGGGAGGAGUUUUGGAAUUUUCACCACUUACCAGUUAUUUUGGAGAGCUGAUCAGUAGAACGCCUCAUGCUGUCAUCAUAGAAGUUGAUCAAAGUAUUGUUUUCUUUCAGUCCACUAAUUAUAUUUUGUCCUCAAAUUAUAUUCUACCAAAAUUCUGUUUCACCAUAGUCCAAGUAUUUUAAAAAGUUUUCUUGCCCUGUUCUUAUUAUGCAAAACGUAAGAACUAUCCUUUUCCACCAUCUCUUUGAAAAAUCAAAUAUAAAACUGAAACACAAUUCUGUUCCUUUCAUGGUAAUCUUUUCUAUAGUACUCUAUUUUCUGCUCAUUGCUGACAGUAAUGACCACAUAUUACAUUUCAAAUAUGUAUCUAGUUUUCCUAAUCCCUUAUCAAAUAUAUAUUUAUGAAUUGCAGUGGCAGUAUAAACACUUCCAUCUAUAUCUUCAUAUGUAGAAAGCACAGUUUCUUGCACAGGAGAGACGCAAUAAGUAUAGUGUCUAUUAUGACCACAUUUAUAAGUCAAAAAGGAGUUUGAAAUGUUUCUACUUAAAAAGUCCUCCUUUUUCAAAAAUUCUGUGAGACUUUGUGUAGAACAGGAAUUAUUACUUUCUUAAAGUGUGUAGUAGAAUUCACCAGUGAUAGCCUCUAUUCCUGGAGUUUCUUUUGUGCAAUGAUUUUAAACUAUAAAACCAGUUUAGUUGACAGCCUUGAGGCUAUUAAAUUGUAUCCUAAUUACAUCUAUUUCUUUUAAAUGUCUUUCUUAAAUUGACAAAUAAAUUGUAUGUUUUUAUGUAUAAUAUGAUGUUUUAAAGUAAAAUUAGCUAAUUAACAAAUGUAUAACCUCAUAUUUAUUCUUGAAUACGUUUUAUUUUUAUGUUUUUCUGAUAAUUUUUCUAAUUCAUCUAAGUUGGUGACUUUAUUGGAAUGAAGUUGUUGUUAAUAUUAUCACAACUAACCUGUUAAUACUUUAAAUAUUGAAGUGGUGCCAACUCUCUCAUUUCUUAUAUUGCAGACUUUCUUGAUAGUCAACAACUUUAUGAAUCUAUUCAAAAUCCCAGCUUUAUUUUAAUUGCCACAUUGAUUAUUUUUAUUUUUAUUUUCAAAACAUGGCUUUCCUCUCUGGUCUUUAUUAUUAUUUUUCUUUUCAAUCAUAUAUGAUUCUUUUCUUUGUUUCUAAAAUUGGAAGCUAAAAUUAUGGACCUCAUAUUUUUAUUCAUAUUAUAGUUGUUUAGUGUUAUAAAUUUUCCUCUUAGAAGUGCUUUAGUUCCAUCAUCUAAUAAAUUUUGAUAAAAUGUUGCUUGUUUAUAUUGGUGAACCACUACCAAGAGAUAAAAGUUUUAUUAACUUUCUCUCAAUAUAACAUUUUCCCCUGCUAAUGCUUAUCUGUACUACUUGCUUGGUAUCCAAUGAAAUUCUAUCCCACUUUUUGAAUAGUUUCAUCUGGUAAUUAAUCACAUACAAUUUUAUGUAUACAUUUACUGUUUUAGUAGUUUUAAUGCAUAUGCCCUUAAUAUUUGAAGUGAUAUCAUCUAUUAAAGAGUGAAGUCUGUGGUGGUUUUUUCUCUUAAUUUACACACUGAACAUCUAAACUCAUGGUUAUCAAUGAAAAUCGAUUGAAUUACAUUGAUGUAAUUAACUGAGAUUGAAACAUGGUCUGAUUUUAUAGUGAAAUACGUGGGAAUCUGGAAACAAGUUUUUCUUUUAUAUAAGAUUUCCUCUGAGUAUGUUAGAAAAAUAUAAUAUUCUUCUACAUCCCAUGACACUGACCAUCCAAGAUAGCAUCAGCAGCUCAGAUCCCAAAUCUUCACGGCAUUGAAAUAUAGAUGCUUUUUGUUUGUUUGUUUUAAUGCCAAAAGGUUAAAAAUGUGGAGAAACUUUACAAUGAGACCCAAAUAGUUACAGUAUUCAAUGUUGCUAGCACUGACCACAUUUAUAAGUGACAAAGGAGCCUAUGUAUCCUUGAAUAAAUGUCUCUGUGUGAUGUAUGACUCUAAAGCUGAAAUGACACUUGCUGUAUCAAUUUCCUCAGCUGUAAACUGAGGAUAAUAGUGAUAUACAUUGCCUAGGAAUGUGUGAGUAUAAAACUUACAAUGUUUGUGACAUUUGGAUCGAACUGUAUGAUACUUGGUACAUUAAUGAUAAUUAUUCACUUUCUCAAAACUUCAGGGAUUUUAAAUACAUAUACAUACAAACACAUAUGCUAUUUGUAAUACAAAAUAAUCUUGUGAAAAUGAGUUAAUCUAUUUAAUGUGGAGAUCAGAUUUUGGCAACCUAUAGUUUAUGGACCAAAUCCAGCCUGUUAUCUGUUUUGUAAAUAAAAAUUUAUUGGAGCACAAUCCUACUCUUUGAUUUAUUAAUUGUCCAGGGAAGUUUUCACACUACAGCAGCAGAACUGAGGAGUUGUGCCAAAGAUCAUGUGGCCACAAAUUGUGACACUUACUCUAUGGAACCUAAGGUCUUUGCUACACACACACACACAGGCACACAGACUCACACACGUUUGUCACCAACUCCUGGUAUAGAAUAUAGCUUAUAUUCAGUAUCAAAUUGCCAGUCUCCCUUAUCAGCCUAAUAAGUAUUUUAAUUUGUAGUUAU
RNAcentral lists this long non-coding RNA (6103 nucleotides) under Homo sapiens (human). RNAcentral's name for it is "HSALNT0019036". The record is from RNAcentral. Lineage: Eukaryota; Metazoa; Chordata; Mammalia; Primates; Hominidae.